AUGAAGAGGGAUGGGGACGUGAUCCCAGUGACACCAGCAGCGCUGGGCUGGCCCCAGGCUCCCGUGGUGCUGGUUUGGAGCCCAGCAGCAGCGAUGCUCAGGCUGGGGGGGGGGACAGGGAAGGGGGGACACAGAUUUCAGCAGCAUCCCUUCUCCCUUGCGCAACCCCGGCCGGCCCCUGGCAUCUCGGCGAGGCUCGGCCACUUCCCGGCACAGCGCGGCUGCUUCCAGCCUCCCGCAGAGCAGACACUGAGUCAGCAGGAGGAAGGGGCUCCAGCUGCUGCCACUGCACAAAACUGCUGUGUGUGUCCCCCCACACACACCACUAUGGGGACACGUGUCCCAGCCGUGCUCACGUGGGACCAGCAGCGCGGGGCUGGCCCCAGGCUCCCGUGGUGCUGGUUUGGAGCCCAGCAGCAGAGAUGCUCAGGCUGGGGGGGGACAGGGAGGGGGACACAGAUUUCAGCAGCAUCCCUUCUCCCUUGCGCAACCCCGGCCGGCCCCUGGCAUCUCGGCGAGGCUCGGCCACUUCCCGGCACAGCGCGGCUGCUUCCAGCCUCCCGCAGAGCAGACACUGAGUCAGCAGGAGGAAGGGGCUCCAGCUGCUGCCACUGCACAAAACUGCUGUGUGUCCCCCCACACACACCACUAUGGGGACACGUGUCCCAGCCGUGCUCACGUGGGGACCACGCUCCGCCACCAGCAGCUCCAUCGUGUCCCCACACCCAGCCGUGCUCACGUGGGGACCACGCUCCACCACCAGCAGCUCCAUCGCGUCCCCACAUCUUUGGGGGAAACUCACCGGGUGUAAGGGGGGGGGGACACAAGGCUGGGAUGGAUCAGGAUGGGCUCGCUGCGUCCCCUCUCCACAGAAUGUCACCUCCUCCCUAUGGUGAGGGGAUGAGGUCCCCAAAAUGGGGGCUGGCAGCAGGGCUGUCCCCCCACACACACCACUAUGGGGACACGUGUCCCAGCCGUGCUCACGUGGGGACCACGCUCCGCCACCAGCAGCUCCAUCGUGUCCCCACAUCUUUGGGGGAAACUCUCCGGGUGUAA
This 1056-nucleotide long non-coding RNA is filed under the name Calidris pugnax (ruff). Its description in RNAcentral is "lncRNA (ENSCPUG00000003989.1)". Lineage: Eukaryota; Metazoa; Chordata; Aves; Charadriiformes; Scolopacidae. The record is from RNAcentral.